CUCCUACGGGAGGCAGCAGUGAGGAAUAUUGGUCAAUGGGCGAGAGCCUGAACCAGCCAAGUAGCGUGCGGGAUGAAGGCCCUUGUGGUCGUAAACCGCUUUUAUCAGUGAAUAAAGUGCACCACGUGUGGUGUCAUUGCAGGUAGCUGAAGAAAAAGGACCGGCUAAUUCCGUGCCAGCAGCCGCGGUAAUACGGAAGGUCCGGGCGUUAUCCGGAAUUAUUGGGUUUAAAGGGAGCGCAGGCGGGAGUAUAAGUCAGCUGUUAAAUAUCAGGGCCCAACUCUGUUAUGCAGUUGAAACUAUAUUUCUUGAGUACGCACAGGGAUGGCGGAAUUCAGGGUGUAGCGGUGAAAUGCUUAGAUAUCCUGAAGAACUCCGAUCGCGAAGGCAGCCAUCCGGAGCGUAACUGACGCUGAGGCUCGAAGGUGCGGGUAUCGAACAGGAUUAGAUACCCUGGUAGUCCGCACGGUAAACGAUGAAUACUCGCAGUUCGGCCUUUAUGGUCGAGUUGUCCAGCGAAAGCGUUAAGUAUUCCACCUGGGGAGUACGCCGGCAACGGUGAAACUCAAAGGAAUUGACGGGGGCCCGCACAAGCGGAGGAACAUGUGGUUUAAUUCGAUGAUACGCGAGGAACCUUACCCGGGCUUGAACCAAGAGUGCGGAGUGCAGAGAUGCACUUUUUCUUCGGACACUUUUGGAGGUGCUGCAUGGUUGUCGUCAGCUCGUGCCGUGAGGUGUCGGCUUAAGUGCCAUAACGAGCGCAACCCUUUUCUACGUUUGCCAUCGGGUAAUGCCGGGAACUCCGUGGAUACUGCCGCCGCAAGGCGGAGGAAGGUGGGGAUGACGUCAAAUCAGCACGGCCCUUACGUCCGGGGCUACACACGUGUUACAAUGGUCGGAGCAGCAGGAAGCUACCUGGCGACAGGAUGCUGAUCCCAAAACCCGGCCUCAGUUCGGACUGGAGUCUGCAACCCGACUCCGUGAAGCCGGAUUCGCUAGUAAUCGCGCAUCAGCCAUGGCGCGGUGAAUACGUUCCCGGGCCUUGUACACACCGC
RNAcentral lists this ribosomal RNA (1055 nucleotides) under uncultured bacterium. RNAcentral's name for it is "bacterial SSU rRNA". It matches the Rfam family "Bacterial small subunit ribosomal RNA", at positions 336 to 1393 of the family's 1533-position model. The record is from RNAcentral.